GGUCCUAUAGCUCAGUUGGUUAGAGCGUCGUACUAAUAAUGCGAAGGUCGUGAGUUCGACCCUCACUGGGACCA
RNAcentral lists this transfer RNA (74 nucleotides) under Xylariales sp. No.14919. RNAcentral describes it as "fungal sp. No.14919 tRNA-Ile". It matches the Rfam family "tRNA". Rfam says of the family: Transfer RNA (tRNA) molecules are approximately 80 nucleotides in length. Their secondary structure includes four short double-helical elements and three loops (D, anti-codon, and T loops). Lineage: Eukaryota; Fungi; Ascomycota; Sordariomycetes; Xylariales. The record is from RNAcentral.